GGAUAGCUCAGCGGGCAGAGCAUGAGCCUCAUCAUCUCAGGGUUGUGGGUUUGAGUCACAUGCUGGGCA
This 69-nucleotide transfer RNA is filed under the name Podarcis lilfordi (Lilford's wall lizard). Its description in RNAcentral is "tRNA.Met". Lineage: Eukaryota; Metazoa; Chordata; Lepidosauria; Squamata; Lacertidae. The record is from RNAcentral.